AUGUUCCUCUGCUGCCGCCGCCACCUCACCUUCUCACCGCCCACCGCCGUCCCCUCUCCCAGUGGACACCGCCCUCUCAAGCCAAGAACGCCCAGAGCCCCAAUCCUAGCAUCCAAGAACCCCCCACCACGGCCAUGGCCACUGCCAAGGCGGCAAUGGCGGUGGCGGUGCAGCAACACCGAUGCCGUCCAACCGCCACCCCUCGUCGAGGCCAGUGUCUCCGGCGGCGGCGAGAAGAAGAGCUUCUGGGCGGCGGUGAGCCUCAUCAUCGGCACGGCGGUCGGGCCGGGCAUGCUGGCGCUGCCGUCGGCCACCAUCCGCUCCGGCCCGGUCCCCUCCACCGUGGCCAUCCUGCUCUCCUGGGCCUACGUCGUGUCCUCCAUCGUCCUCGUCGCCGAGCUCAGCUUCGCGGCCAUGGAGAGCGGGGGCGUGAACGAGGUCAGCUUCACAGGACUUGCGUCGAGCACCUUGGGGGCAACCUUCGGCGGCGGCGUCGCCGUCGUCUACGCUGCGCUGAGCUUCUCCCUGAUGGUCGCCUGCGUAGCCGGCAUCGGCUCACUGGUCUCUCAGCUCUUCCCCGCGGUGAAUCCGGUCUUGGCCAACGCGCUCUUCCCGUGCUUCGCCGGGGUGCUCAUCGCGUUCUUCCCGUUCAAGGCUGUCGAUGGCGUCAACCGCGUGCUCUGCGGCCUGAUGCUCGUCUCGAUCACGUCGCUUGUGGUGACAGGCGUCUCCGUCGGCCGGAGCAGCAUGCUGAAUUCGCUUGGCCACGCGUGCUGGAGCCCUGGUGCCAUCUUGCCGGCCAUUCCGGUCACCGUGCUCACGCUUGGGUUCCACGUGAUCACGCCAUUCAUCUGCAAGAUUGUAGGUGACUCGGUGUAUGAUGCACGCAGGGCUAUUCUCAUUGGGGGUGCUGUACCAUUGGUCAUGGUUUUGUCAUGGAAUGCGGUCAUUCUGGGAUUGGCAGGCGCGACCGGCAGUGCAAGGUUUGAUGACCCUAUUAAGCUUCUUCUCUCGGUGAAUCCAGCAGCAUUGGCUCCCGUUCGAGGCUUCGCGUUUGCUGCAUUGGCGACGAGCUUGAUAGGAUAUGCAGUCAGCUUUCCGAAGCAGUUGGAAGACACUUUGCAGUUGAUUGUUAAGAGUUUUUCAAUGAAGCAAGGAAGUGUGGAGUUGUCCAAUGCUGGUGGUGAUCAUGGCAGGAACGAGGAGGUGGUUCUUACGUUGGCGGUACUGAUAAUUCCCAUAUUUAUUGUAUCAUUCUUUUCAACAGCGUUUGCCAAGGCAUUAGAUUUUGCUGGGGUUUAUGCAAACUGCUUCUUAUUUGGGAUCCUGCCUCCUGCAAUGGCCUGGAUUCAUCGGUCAAGGAAAAAGAGGUCACCUGGUUCAUGUGAAGACAUUUUGCCUGGUGGGAAUGCUGCUCUCUUGGUACUUUUCAUCAUUGCGGUCAUCCUAGCAUUCCGGCAUUAA
Molecule: ribosomal RNA, 1464 nt
Filed under: Triticum aestivum (bread wheat)
Lineage: Eukaryota; Viridiplantae; Streptophyta; Magnoliopsida; Poales; Poaceae
Description: partial small subunit ribosomal RNA
Source: RNAcentral